This 523-nucleotide ribosomal RNA is filed under the name fungal sp. XKGKDF19. Its description in RNAcentral is "eukaryotic LSU rRNA". The stretch from base 148 to 301 matches the Rfam family "5.8S ribosomal RNA". The record is from RNAcentral. Lineage: Eukaryota; Fungi.
GGUCACUCCAACCCAUGUGACAUACCUACUGUUGCUUCGGCGGGAUUGCCCCGGGCGCCUCGUGUGCCCCGGAUCAGGCGCCCGCCUAGGAAACUUAACUCUUGUUUUAUUUUGGAAUCUUCUGAGUAGUUUUUACAAAUAAAUAAAAACUUUCAACAACGGAUCUCUUGGUUCUGGCAUCGAUGAAGAACGCAGCGAAAUGCGAUAAGUAAUGUGAAUUGCAGAAUUCAGUGAAUCAUCGAAUCUUUGAACGCACAUUGCGCCCGCCAGUAUUCUGGCGGGCAUGCCUGUCUGAGCGUCAUUUCAACCCUCAUGCCCCUAGGGCGUGGUGUUGGGGAUCGGCCAAAGCCCGCGAGGGACGGCCGGCCCCUAAAUCUAGUGGCGGACCCGUCGUGGCCUCCUCUGCGAAGUAGUGAUAUUCCGCAUCGGAGAGCGACGAGCCCCUGCCGUUAAACCCCCAACUUUCCAAGGUUGACCUCAGAUCAGGUAGGAAUACCCGCUGAACUUAAGCAUAUCAAUAAGC